Long non-coding RNA from Bactrocera neohumeralis, 561 nucleotides. RefSeq lists it as uncharacterized. The transcript has 3 exons. NCBI's taxonomy places the organism in Eukaryota, Metazoa, Arthropoda, Insecta, Diptera, Tephritidae. The record is from RefSeq and is a predicted model, not a curated record.
GUGAAGUGUUAAUACAAAUAAAUUAUAAAAUUGUGUUAAAUAUAAGUAAUAAAGCGCUUACUAAAACCUAUUGUGUUAAUUAAUAAAGUAAUAAGUAAUAGUUAGCAUAUUAUUUACCGUGUUUUGUUUGCAGUGAAUGUUUUCGGGGUGAAGCGAAUUCACAACUAUUAUAUUCAAUAAAUACUUAACAAAUAUAUAGUUUCGGUUAUUAUAUCGUAUUAUAUUGAUAAGAUAAACAAUUAAGUAGUAAAAUAAGGUAAUAUUAAAAUAAAUUGUAAUGCAAGAAGUGUGAAUUAUUAAUAUGGUAUGUGCGUGUUAACAAAGAAGUUAUGGAGGAAGACAAGCAGCAGGUGCAGAGAAUGAGGCAACUACUACAUAGAUAUUUGGAAGUUAUCAAAGGUGUGCUAAGAAAAUCAUGAAAAAUCACGUUAAACUUACUUUUGAUGACCCGCAGCUCAAGCACAAAUCAUCAGCCGAGGUUACACAAUCAGCUUUCUAACCUUAAAACGUCAUCAGAGCAUCACUAACUCCGUUUGAUAUUAUAAAUGAGACGCACCUGAG